AACGAACGCUGGCGGCAUGCCUAACACAUGCAAGUCGAACGAUCCCUUCGGGGAUAGUGGCGCACGGGUGCGUAACGCGUGGGAACCUGCCCUUAGGUUCGGAAUAACUCAGAGAAAUUUGAGCUAAUACCGGAUAAUGUCUUCGGACCAAAGAUUUAUCGCCUUUGGAUGGGCCCGCGUUGGAUUAGCUAGUUGGUGGGGUAAAGGCCUACCAAGGCGACGAUCCAUAGCUGGUCUGAGAGGAUGAUCAGCCACACUGGGACUGAGACACGGCCCAGACUCCUACGGGAGGCAGCAGUGGGGAAUAUUGGACAAUGGGCGAAAGCCUGAUCCAGCAAUGCCGCGUGAGUGAUGAAAGCCUUAGGGUUGUAAAGCUCUUUUACCCGGGAUGAUAAUGACAGUACCGGGAGAAUAAGCCCCGGCUAACUCCGUG
RNAcentral lists this ribosomal RNA (433 nucleotides) under uncultured bacterium. RNAcentral's name for it is "partial 16S ribosomal RNA". It matches the Rfam family "Bacterial small subunit ribosomal RNA", at positions 29 to 507 of the family's 1533-position model. The record is from RNAcentral.